RNAcentral lists this ribosomal RNA (247 nucleotides) under uncultured bacterium. Its description in RNAcentral is "partial 16S ribosomal RNA". It matches the Rfam family "Bacterial small subunit ribosomal RNA", at positions 524 to 776 of the family's 1533-position model. The record is from RNAcentral.
UACGUAGGGGGCAAGCGUUGUCCGGAUUUAUUGGGCGUAAAGAGCGUGUAGGCGGCCAUACAGGUCAGCUGUGAAAACUCGAGGCUCAACCUCGAGACGUCGGUUGAAACCGUAUGGCUAGAGUCCGGAAGAGGAGAGUGGAAUUCCCGGUGUAGCGGUGAAAUGCGCAGAUAUCGGGAGGAAUACCGAUGGCGAAGGCAGGUCUCUGGGCUGACACUGAGACGCGAAAGCGUGGGGAGCAAACAGG